GAGGUGCUCCGCAAUGCGAACUGCGCCAUGUGGCGCCGCUGGGCUGCUGCGGAGAGAAGCACGCACAGAUAACCGGCCCUGUGAAGACUUUUCAAGAUUCCACUUUGUACUGAAGACUAGCUGAGAUAUCCAACCACAUGGACUCAUCAACUACUGGAUUCUUGGACCUUCUUUUGAGAGAAAGCCAUUUUUGGGCAAUCUCGACCUCAUUCUCAUUUUAUCAACCUCUACUCCCACCAAACCCCUGAUGUCGCCUUCAAGAAUGUUCUCCUGAGACAGACAUGCUGACGCUGUGUGAUUUUUGCAUUUGGAAGGUAAAGUCAGGAAGACUGGGAGUUCAAGAUCACCUUUGGCUACGUAGCAAGCAGCAGGCAUGCAUGCAUGUUUGUGCAUGUAUGUGUGUAUUCCAUUUUGUUUGAGUGCUUUUUAAAAAUUUGACUUCUUCUGAGAACUCCUGUAGUUGAAUUAGGGAGAAGCUGGAAGAAAUUGAGGAGGAGGACAACCCCAUAGGAAGAUCAGCAGUCUCCACUAAGCCGGACCCUGAACCACCAACCAGGCAGCAUACAUCAGCUGAUGAUGGUCCCUGACACAUACACAACACAGAACUCUCUGGUCUGGCCUCAGUGAGAGAAGAUGCACCUAACCCUCAAGAGACUUCAGGCCCCAGAGAGUAGGGAGGUCUGGUGGAGUGGAGCCGAAGAGUGGGGACAUCCUCUUGGAGACAGGGAAGGAGGUAUGGGAUGAGGAACAGUCAGAGGGUGGACUGGGAGGGGGAUAAUGACUGGACUAUAAAAAAAGAUUAAAGAAUAAUAAUU
This is a non-coding RNA of Rattus norvegicus (Norway rat), 815 nucleotides long. Lineage: Eukaryota; Metazoa; Chordata; Mammalia; Rodentia; Muridae. The record is from RefSeq and is a predicted model, not a curated record.